GAGAGGGAGAGUGCGGCCGACGGCAGUAUCUAUUUACUGCUGAGGAAAGUCCCCACUCCGACCGGAAAUGAUGCUGCAUGCAAGUGCAGGUGGCGAGAGUCAUGGCUCUGGCACAGAAACGAUACGGCCUUCUGCUUAGCUUAUGAGGCAGGAACAAACUGCUGAGGCGCUUUGAGGGAGAGGGAAACGAUGGAACGGUGAAUCCCUUCAGGAGCAAGCCGAACAGGGACAUCAACAGUAUUUUCGGACUGGUCCCGGGUACGGCGCACAGCUGAAUGCCGCAGAAACAUAAUGGGGCUUACUCCUCCCACUC
This 313-nucleotide RNase P RNA is filed under the name Methanoplanus endosymbiosus. Its description in RNAcentral is "RNase P RNA component". It matches the Rfam family "Archaeal RNase P". Rfam says of the family: Ribonuclease P (RNase P) is a ubiquitous endoribonuclease, found in archaea, bacteria and eukarya as well as chloroplasts and mitochondria. Lineage: Archaea; Methanobacteriati; Methanobacteriota; Methanomicrobia; Methanomicrobiales; Methanomicrobiaceae. The record is from RNAcentral.